AGAGUAACUUUUAUCCGUUGA
This 21-nucleotide microRNA is filed under the name Ananas comosus (pineapple). RNAcentral describes it as "microRNA s0416_c50a". Lineage: Eukaryota; Viridiplantae; Streptophyta; Magnoliopsida; Poales; Bromeliaceae. The record is from RNAcentral.